UAAAAAUCUCAGCUGCUCCUGGAAACUUAGAAGAUUGAUUGCGUGCCCGGAGAGAGACAGAAAGACAUGCCACAAGCCUUUACGUUAUAGGGCAAAACCAUUUGAAACAACAGUAGUAAGGGAAGGUGGUUUGUACUACUCACAGUCUUCAAAUUCAGGUAAGUUCAUUUUUCUUGUGAACUCUUCACCUAGGCCCCAAUUAGUAUCCUAUUAACCUCCUUAAAUAUGGAAUUGCUAAGAUCUUAGAAUACUCCAAAAUGGUCUAUUAGCUACCCCAUUUCCUGGCUCCAUCAGAUGAAAAUGCC
RNAcentral lists this long non-coding RNA (305 nucleotides) under Phascolarctos cinereus (koala). Its description in RNAcentral is "lncRNA (ENSPCIG00000012135.2)". Lineage: Eukaryota; Metazoa; Chordata; Mammalia; Diprotodontia; Phascolarctidae. The record is from RNAcentral.